CCCAGGUUCAAAUCCCAUUCUGUGUGAAGUUUGCAUGUUAGCCCUGCAAAAGUGUUUGCCGCUGCAUAGUACAUGGGAUAAGGUCCAGCCCCACUGCAACCCUUAUUUAAAUAAGUAGAAGAGGAUAGAUGGAUCGAUUGAUUAAUGCUGAAAAAUCUAAUCCAGUUCUGACACAGACAAUAUUUAUUUUUUUGUAUGGUUAGGAAACUGAAAUGAACAAGAAGCUAAGGGAGGAAAAUGCAACUGAACUAGCAGAAAAGCAGGAGGUGAUACGGUCUCUGCAGCACACC
Long non-coding RNA from Astatotilapia calliptera (eastern happy), 290 nucleotides. The record is from Ensembl. NCBI's taxonomy places the organism in Eukaryota, Metazoa, Chordata, Actinopteri, Cichliformes, Cichlidae.